Molecule: ribosomal RNA, 504 nt
Filed under: uncultured bacterium
Lineage: Bacteria
Description: bacterial SSU rRNA
Rfam family: Bacterial small subunit ribosomal RNA
Source: RNAcentral
AACGAACGCUGGCGGCGUGCCUAACACAUGCAAGUCGAACGAGAAAGGGGCUUCGGCUCCGAGUAAAGUGGCGCACGGGUGAGUAACACGUAGGUAACCUGCCUCUAAGUUUGGGAUAACCUGUCGAAAGACGAGCUAAUACCAAAUAAGACCACAGUCUCCUUGGAGACAGAGGUCAAAGGUAGCCUCUAUUUAUAAGCUAUCGCUAAGAGAUGGGCCUGCGUACCAUUAGCUAGUUGGUGAGGUAACGGCUCACCAAGGCAAAGAUGGUUAGCUGGUCUGAGAGGAUGAUCAGCCACACUGGAACUGAGACACGGUCCAGACUCCUACGGGAGGCAGCAGUGGGGAAUAUUGCGCAAUGGGCGAAAGCCUGACGCAGCAACGCCGCGUGAGUGAUGAAGGCCUUCGGGUCGUAAAGCUCUGUCGGAGGGAACGAAUGCUCUCAAGGUUAACAGCCUCGGGAGGUGACGGUACCCUCAAAGGAAGCACCGGCUAACUCUGUGC